GAUGAAGAACGUAGCGAAAUGCGAUAAGUAGUGUGAAUUGCAGAAUUCAGUGAAUCAUCGAAUCUUUGAACGCACAUUGCGCCCCUUGGUAUUCCAUGGGGCAUGCCUGUUCGAGCGUCAUUUGUACCUUCAAGCCUUGCUUGGUGUUGGGUGUUUGUCUCGCCUCUGCGCGCAGACUCGCCUCAAAACAAUUGGCAGCCGGCGUAUUGAUUUCGGAGCGCAGUACAUCUCGCGCUUUGCACUCAGAACGACGACGUCCAAAAGUACAUUUUUACACUCUUGACCUCGGAUCAGGUAGGGAUACCCGCUGAACUUAAUCAUAUCAAUAAGCGGAGGA
This 337-nucleotide unclassified non-coding RNA is filed under the name soil metagenome. RNAcentral's name for it is "partial contains 5.8S ribosomal RNA, internal transcribed spacer 2, and large subunit ribosomal RNA". The stretch from base 1 to 120 matches the Rfam family "5.8S ribosomal RNA", at positions 35 to 154 of the family's 154-position model. The record is from RNAcentral.